This 448-nucleotide ribosomal RNA is filed under the name uncultured bacterium. RNAcentral describes it as "partial 16S ribosomal RNA". It matches the Rfam family "Bacterial small subunit ribosomal RNA", at positions 330 to 794 of the family's 1533-position model. The record is from RNAcentral.
GCCAGACUCCUACGGGAGGCAGCAGUGGGGGAUAUUGCACAAUGGGGGGAACCCUGAUGCAGCGACGCCGCGUGGGUGAAGGAGCGUUUCGGCGCGUAAAGCCCUAUCGGCAGGGAAGAAGGAGGACGGUACCUGACUAAAAAGCCCCGGCUAACUACGUGCCAGCAGCCGCGGUAAUACGUAGGGGGCAAGCGUUAUCCGGAUUUACUGGGUGUAAAGGGGGCGCAGACGGCAGCGCAAGCCAGGAGUGAAAGCCCGGGGCCCAACCCCGGGACUGCUCUUGGAACUGCGCGGCUGGAGUGCAGGAGGGGCAGGCGGAAUUCCUGGUGUAGCGGUCAAAUGCGUAGAUAUCAGGAGGAACACCGGUGGCGAAGGCGGCCUGCUGGACUGCGACUGACGUUGAGGCCCGAAAGCGUGGGGAGCAAACAGGAUUAGAUACCCCAGUACC